UGCUUUUAAAGGAUAACAGCUCAUCCAUUGGUCUUAGGAACCAAAAACUCUUGGUGCAAAUCCAAGUGAAAGCU
RNAcentral lists this transfer RNA (74 nucleotides) under Taenioides cirratus (bearded worm goby). RNAcentral's name for it is "tRNA-Leu". It matches the Rfam family "tRNA". From Rfam's summary of the family: Transfer RNA (tRNA) molecules are approximately 80 nucleotides in length. Their secondary structure includes four short double-helical elements and three loops (D, anti-codon, and T loops). Lineage: Eukaryota; Metazoa; Chordata; Actinopteri; Gobiiformes; Gobiidae. The record is from RNAcentral.